GACGAACGCUGGCGGCGUGCCUAAUACAUGCAAGUAGAACGCUGAAGGAGGAGCUUGCUUCUCUGGAUGAGUUGCGAACGGGUGAGUAACGCGUAGGUAACCUGCCUGGUAGCGGGGGAUAACUAUUGGAAACGAUAGCUAAUACCGCAUAAGAGUAGAUGUUGCAUGACAUUUGCUUAAAAGGUGCAAUUGCAUCACUACCAGAUGGACCUGCGUUGGAUUAGCUAGUUGGUGGGGUAACGGCUCACCAAGGCGACGAUACAUAGCCGACCUGAGAGGGGGGUCGGCCCACAUGGGACUGAGACACGGCCCAGAAUCCUACGGGAGGCAACAGUAGGGAAUCUUCGGCAAUGGACGGAAGUCUGACCGAGCAACGCCGCGUGAGUGAAGAAGGUUUUCGGAUCGUAAAGCUCUGUUGUAAGAGAAGAACGAGUGUGGGAGUGGAAAGUUCACACUGUGACGGUAUCUUACCAGAAAGGGACGGCUAACUACGUG
Molecule: ribosomal RNA, 495 nt
Filed under: uncultured bacterium
Lineage: Bacteria
Description: partial 16S ribosomal RNA
Rfam family: Bacterial small subunit ribosomal RNA
Source: RNAcentral